ACGGGUGAGUAAUAUAUCGGAACGUGCCCUAGAGUGGGGGAUAACUAGUCGAAAGACUAGCUAAUACCGCAUACGAUCUACGGAUGAAAGUGGGGGAUCGCAAGACCUCAUGCUCCUGGAGCGGCCGAUAUCUGAUUAGCUAGUUGGUGGGGUAAAAGCCUACCAAGGCGACGAUCAGUAGCUGGUCUGAGAGGACGACCAGCCACACUGGGACUGAGACACGGCCCAGACUCCUACGGGAGGCAGCAGUGGGGAAUUUUGGACAAUGGGGGCAACCCUGAUCCAGCAAUGCCGCGUGAGUGAAGAAGGCCUUCGGGUUGUAAAGCUCUUUUGUCAGGGAAGAAACGGUAGUAGCUAAUAUCUAUUACUAAUGACGGUACCUGAAGAAUAAGCACCGGCUAACUACGUGCCAGCAGCCGCGGUAAUACGUAGGGUGCAAGCGUUAAUCGGAAUUACUGGGCGUAAAGCGUGCGCAGGCGGUUGUGUAAGUCAGAUGUGAAAUCCCCGGGCUCAACCUGGGAAUUGCAUUUGAGACUGCACGGCUAGAGUGUGUCAGAGGGGGGUAGAAUUCCACGUGUAGCA
RNAcentral lists this ribosomal RNA (582 nucleotides) under uncultured bacterium. Its description in RNAcentral is "bacterial SSU rRNA". It matches the Rfam family "Bacterial small subunit ribosomal RNA", at positions 102 to 680 of the family's 1533-position model. The record is from RNAcentral.